GGUACCAAGUGUUUUUAAUGAUGAUAUCGUAUUACACUUAAACAAGCAAAUUUAUCACUUCUGAAGGACACUAUUGCAGGACCUUAGGUCUUGGUCAUGCAUUGAUUACUUUCUUCAUUGUACAACUGCUGCUACUGUUUGUCUAGCAGGCAUGUCUUUACCUUCAAACUUCACACAGAUGUAUGCAAAAUUCUGGGACCAUGAAAAUCAUACAUUAGAUUCCAUAUUAGUAAAUUAUGUCAAUUGUUACUUCUAACUUUGUUCCGAAAAAACAAGGCUAUUUGAUUGGAUAAGCAAUAAAAAGAACAUAUGAACAUGGUCAACUAUCAUAGUCAAGCAGCUGAGCUGACUAUGUUCAGCUCAGUAGAGGUAGCUAAUUAGUAUUGGCUAAAACCUUACAGGCAAUUGCACAGAGAACGACAAAACUUAUACAUUAGGUGGUUAAAACUCAGGAAAGUGAUUUAGUAACUGAAUCACCGGAAUUGGCCUAAGCAGACUAGCAACUCGAUCUUCUUCACUUCAGAGAAAUGCUUUGAAUUGCAUUGCUGCAAGUAUUGACUGCAAAACCAAUAAAAUUAUACCAGCAAAAGGAAAAUUUGAUUUUGUUCUACCACAAUUGUAAUGCACACAAAGGAAAUAUCUAUGCUUCUCCAAGAAUACUUAUGAGAACAUGAGAACAUGUAAAGAAAACUGAUGAAAAGAUGUAAACUUAUCACCAAAUGCUGGGUAAUAGACCAUGUGAAAUGGUGCUGCUUUUUAACAUAUUUGUUUUUAAAAUCUGUACUCACUAUAUCAUAUCCAUUUCAAAACACUCAUGCAUUCUCUUCUCCUUUAUA
Molecule: long non-coding RNA, 836 nt
Filed under: Ricinus communis (castor bean)
Lineage: Eukaryota; Viridiplantae; Streptophyta; Magnoliopsida; Malpighiales; Euphorbiaceae
Description: long non-coding RNA (RCOM_LNC003626)
Source: RNAcentral